Non-coding RNA from Acanthosepion pharaonis, 111 nucleotides. The record is from the annotation of a GenBank genome assembly. NCBI's taxonomy places the organism in Eukaryota, Metazoa, Mollusca, Cephalopoda, Sepiida, Sepiidae.
CGUCUGUAUCAUGUUGAAAUCCCAGUUCCCGUACGAUCAACGAAGUUAAGCAUCAUCGAACCUGGUCACUACUUAGAUGGGUGACCGCUUGCGAAUACCAGGGGUUGUAAG